AGCAGCCGCGGUAAUUCCAGCUCCAAUAGCGUAUAUUAAAGUUGUUGCAGUUAAAAAGCUCGUAGUUGAAUUUCGGGAUCAAUGUUUCGGUCAUGCCCUUGGUAUGUACUGAUAUUAUUGGUUUCUCACCUUCUAAAGAACCGUAAUGCCAUUAAUUUGGUGUCACGGGGAAUUAGGACUGUUACCUUGAAAAAAUUAGAGUGUUUAAAGCAGGCUCACGCUUGAAUACAUUAGCAUGGAAUAAUGAAAUAGGACAUCCGAUUCUAUUUUGUUGGUUUCUAGGAUCGAUGUAAUGAUUAAUAGGGAUAGUUGGGGGCAUUAGUAUUCAAUUGUCAGAGGUGAAAUUCUUGGAUUUAUUGAAGACUAACUACUGCGAAAGCAUUUGCCAAGGAUGUUUUCAUUAAUCAAGAACGAAAGUUAGGGGAUCGAAGACGAUCAGAUACCGUCGUAGUCUUAACCAUAAACUAUGCCGACUAGGGAUCGGAUGAUGUUAAUGUUUUAAUGACUCA
RNAcentral lists this ribosomal RNA (509 nucleotides) under uncultured glomeraceous AM fungus. Its description in RNAcentral is "SSU rRNA". It matches the Rfam family "Eukaryotic small subunit ribosomal RNA", at positions 569 to 1078 of the family's 1831-position model. Lineage: Eukaryota; Fungi; Glomeromycota; Glomeromycetes; Glomerales; Glomeraceae. The record is from RNAcentral.